CCCACCUCUAAAAUGCAAGAGAAUUUAAGAUGGGAGAGUGAUUCAUGCAUAGAUCAACAUGGAGAUCAAAUGGCCUCUUCUAUCCUCCAGCCCGCCACCUCAGGACAGUGGAAAAAGGGCAAGCAGUCACAUUUCUGCUUCUGCCUGAUAGCCAGUGGUAGUACAUUUUGUUCAAAGGCAAAUGACCAAAUGCCCGAGCAGUGGGAUCAGGGGCCAUCGGGUAACAGAAGAGGAGAGACAGGAAGGGAGCCUGCAUUUUCUGGACUGCCUUAUGGUGAUUGAAGAAGGAGCAGGUCAGGACUCCUACCAUUUGUAACUUUCCAUAAAAUUUGAUCAAUAUGUUUUAUCUGUCCUCAAAGCAGCCUCCCAAGCAAUUAGUUUAGCUGCAAUUUGGGGAUCGCUGACAUAGCUCCCACAGUUUUUCAUUAGCCAUUAACCAAACAGCUGUUUGGAGGGAUUUUUUUUUUUUCCUAAACUAAUUCAGAUUUAGGAAUCACUUUUAUGAGCACUCAAAUUGCUCUUGUUAUUUCUCCUUCUUGUCAAAGAUGCUAUUUUUGUGAUUUCUAACUGAAAGACAAAGGAUUGCUUGACAUAAUUAUUUCCUUUUCCUUACUGGGUCCAAAUAUAAUUCAGUUUAAUCUGCAGAAAGUGGUGGGAAUAGUGAGAACAAUAUAAUGUUUUCCAGAAAGCUUAUGAAAUAUAUUUUUUAAACUCGCAUUCAGCUUCUACUAAGUAGAGACACACUGCUAUUUGGAAUUCGUUGGAAAUAAAAUCUGUGAUAACAUUGAUAGUUUUUCAAAUAUAUAUACUUGCCUCCCAUAUAAAUGAGUCUUGAUGUACUGUCUAUGCAGGGCUGUAUGUGAAUUUAUGUAUGUAAAUAAAUGUAAGUAAAUAUAUAUACAAACGUUAUGUAUGUGUGUAUAUGUAUAUUAUAUAUAAGUAGUUUUUAAUGUAUGUUUGUAAUGUUCUGACACAUUACAGUUGAUCAACAAAUAGUAACUACUAUUAUUACUGAGCAAAGCCAAACCCCAUCAUGAUGAGGUAAGUAGAGUCAAAGUCCAAAUCUGGGAUCAUGCUUCUCCCUCUGCCUAUGUCUCUUCCUCUCUCUGUGUGUCUCUCAUGAAUAAAUAGAUAAAAUCUUUUUUCAAAAAAUGAGGUUAGAAGGACCAGAAUCAAUCACUAAUCACAUUACCAGCAUAAUCAAGGGUUUUAUAUUAUAUUCUGAUUAGUUGAAAAUUAUGACUUAUACAUGUAUGUUACCUGAUAAACCAGAUCAUUCAACUACUUGCCUCAUUUCUCAACCAUUUAAUACAGAUUAAAAUUUUACUAUGAUUUUAUUGAAAAUAUGCUAAUUUUUACCCUUAGGGUAUAUCAAUUUGACAUCAUUUAAAACUGGAUGAAGGGGGACGCCUUGGUGGCUCCUUCGGCUUAGGACGUGAUCCUGGGGUUCAGGGAUCGGGUCCCACCUCGGGCUCCCUGUAUGGAGCCUGCUUCUCCCUCUGCCUGUGUCUCUGCCUCUCUCUGUGUCUCUCAUGAAUAAAUAAAUAAACUUAAAAAAAAAAACUA
Molecule: long non-coding RNA, 1566 nt
Filed under: Canis lupus familiaris (dog)
Lineage: Eukaryota; Metazoa; Chordata; Mammalia; Carnivora; Canidae
Description: lncRNA (ENSCAFG00000054834.1)
Source: RNAcentral